Long non-coding RNA from Notothenia coriiceps (black rockcod), 421 nucleotides. RefSeq lists it as uncharacterized. The transcript has 5 exons. NCBI's taxonomy places the organism in Eukaryota, Metazoa, Chordata, Actinopteri, Perciformes, Nototheniidae. The record is from RefSeq and is a predicted model, not a curated record.
CUGUCUCGCUCCCUUUCGACCGCGAGGCGCUGGUCCCUGCAAGUGUGGUGCACGUGCUCUCCCAUCAAACUCAUAACUCACUAUACACGAUGUCUGGAUGUGCUGUAGAUGCAGGAGGAAGAUGUUCUGACCUUCAUUGAAGCAGGAACCAACCAGGCUCUCAGAUGGAGCAGCAUCUGCAAGAGAUACUGACAGUAGUGUGUACUUUACAAUGCGAGGAAGGCUUGGGAACGGCCAGAGCCAUUUGGUGCUUCUUGAACCUGGGCAUGUUGGCAUCCUCUCCUCCAGGAAUACAGAGCAGGUGUGGUGUCUGUGACUCAGGAUGCCUCUGGAGGGAGAGGUCUGACAUCUCCUGGUAGCUUAUGAAGUCACACCUGUUCUCUACUUCUACAGGAGAUUUGGAGGAGGGGUGUUGUGACCA